CCUACGGGAGGCGGCAUUGAGGAAUAUUGGUCAAUGGGCGCGAGCCUGAACCAGCCAAGUCGCGUGAAGGAUGACUGCCCUACGGGUUGUAAACUUCUUUUAUAAAGGAAUAAAGUGAGGCACGUGUGCCUUUUUGUAUGUACUUUAUGAAUAAGGAUCGGCUAACUCCGUGCCAGCAGCCGCGGUAAUACGGAGGAUCCGAGCGUUAUCCGGAUUUAUUGGGUUUAAAGGGAGCGUAGAUGGGUUGUUAAGUCAGUUGUGAAAGUUUGCGGCUCAACCGUAAAAUUGCAAUUGAUACUGGAAGCCUUGAGUACAGUUGAGGUAGGCGGAAUUCGUGGUGUAGCGGUGAAAUGCUUAGAUAUCACGAAGAACUCCGAUUGCGAAGGCAGCUUACUAAACUGCCACUGACAUUGAUGCUCGAAAGUGUGGGUAUCAAACAGGAUUAGAUACCCUAGUAGUC
RNAcentral lists this ribosomal RNA (460 nucleotides) under uncultured bacterium. Its description in RNAcentral is "partial 16S ribosomal RNA". It matches the Rfam family "Bacterial small subunit ribosomal RNA", at positions 338 to 795 of the family's 1533-position model. The record is from RNAcentral.